GCUUAGGGGAGAGACCGGGAUUUGGUACCCCGUUAUUCCUAAGUGUAAAUUAUUAGGGGGACUACGAACACAUGUUUAAAACCUAAGAGACCUGGCAGUGCCAUUAUACAAAUUAGGGGAACUUGUCGCUUAAUUCGAUGAACCUCGUUUUAUACUACCCUUUCUGUGUUUUUUACUACUGUAAAAUGAUUUAGUUGGUUUAUUGCCGUCGGAGAAAGUUCAUAUCGUGAGGGGAUGAAAAUGUGGCUCAAUUUAGUGCUGUGGUUGUUCUAUAGCGAUGUAAGCGAAGUCAGGUCAAGAUCCCGCUUAUGAAAGGGGGUUUGAUGAGUUACAUUAUACAGGGUUAUUAUCCAUUGUAAGUUGAAAAUUGAAAUGUUCUUACAUAGGUGGACUUAAUAGUAAUUGGAUCAAACAAGGUGCAGUGAAUUUUAUGUGGUGUGUACAAAUCGCCC
This 452-nucleotide ribosomal RNA is filed under the name Saccella commutata. Its description in RNAcentral is "Nuculana commutata partial 12S ribosomal RNA". It matches the Rfam family "Bacterial small subunit ribosomal RNA", at positions 755 to 1395 of the family's 1533-position model. Lineage: Eukaryota; Metazoa; Mollusca; Bivalvia; Nuculanida sp.; Nuculanidae. The record is from RNAcentral.